RNAcentral lists this long non-coding RNA (229 nucleotides) under Elaeis guineensis (African oil palm). Its description in RNAcentral is "long non-coding RNA (EGUI_LNC062054)". The record is from RNAcentral. Lineage: Eukaryota; Viridiplantae; Streptophyta; Magnoliopsida; Arecales; Arecaceae.
GCGUAAGCUGUGGGUCCUACGGUUUCAACUCUAGGAUUUGCGAGAAGAAAAUACAAGAGUGAGUCUUGUCCAAUCUUUUACACCACCACCUCCUUGUAAGGUUUCAUCUUCUGAUCCAGAAGAGUCUGAGAGAUCCAAAGAAAGGAGCUUGGAUCAGCCAUCUAGAGCCUUCAAUGCGAGCUAGCACUCCCAUAAAAGAAGAUCUGACCAGGACUUCGAGUGGACGAUC